RNAcentral lists this small RNA (117 nucleotides) under Macaca mulatta (Rhesus monkey). Its description in RNAcentral is "Metazoan signal recognition particle RNA (ENSMMUG00000064420.1)". Lineage: Eukaryota; Metazoa; Chordata; Mammalia; Primates; Cercopithecidae. The record is from Rfam by way of RNAcentral.
GCCGGGCGCGGUGGCUCACGCCUGUAAUCCCAGCACUUUGGGAGGCUGAGGCAGGUGGAUCACCUGAGGUCAGGAGUUCGAGACCAGCCUGACCAACAUGGUGAAACCCCGUCUCUA